This 941-nucleotide ribosomal RNA is filed under the name uncultured bacterium. RNAcentral's name for it is "bacterial SSU rRNA". It matches the Rfam family "Bacterial small subunit ribosomal RNA", at positions 502 to 1440 of the family's 1533-position model. The record is from RNAcentral.
UACGUGCCAGCAGCCGCGNUAAUACGUAGGGUGCAAGCGUUGUCCGGAUUUACUGGGCGUAAAGAGCUCGUAGGUGGUGUGUCGCGUCGUCUGUGAAAUUCCGGGGCUUAACUCCGGGCGUGCAGGCGAUACGGGCACGACUAGAGUGCUGUAGGGGUAACUGGANUUCCUGGUGUAGCGGUGAAAUGCGCAGAUAUCAGGAGGAACACCGAUGGCGAAGGCAGGUUACUGGGCAGUUACUGACGCUGAGGAGCGAAAGCAUGGGGAGCGAACAGGAUUAGAUACCCUGGUAGUCCAUGCUGUAAGCGGUGGGCGCUAGGUGUGGGCUGUGUGUUUGCAGUCUGUGCCGUAGCUAACGCAUUAAGCGCCCCGCCUGGGGAGUACGGCCGCAAGGCUAAAACUCAAAGGAAUUGACGGGGGCCCGCACAAGCGGCGGAGCAUGUGGAUUAAUUCGAUGCAACGCGAAGAACCUUACCUGGGUUUGACAUGCACCAGAUCGGCGUAGAGAUACGUCUUCCCUUGUGGUUGGUGCACAGGUGGUGCAUGGUUGUCGUCAGCUCGUGUCGUGAGAUGUUGGGUUAAGUCCCGCAACGAGCGCAACCCUUGUCUUAUGUUGCCAGCACAUUUUUGGUGGGGACUCAUGAGAAACUGCCGGGGUCAACUCGGAGGAAGGUGGGGAUGACGUCAAAUCAUCAUGCCCUUUAUACCCAGGGCUUCACACAUGCUACAAUGGUCGGUACAGCGGGUUGCGACACUGUGAAGUGAAGCUAAUCUCUGAAAGCCGGCCUCAGUUCGGAUUGGGGUCUGUAACUCGACCCCAUGAAGUCGGAGUCGCUAGUAAUCGCAGAUCAGCAACGCUGCGGUGAAUACGUUCCCGGGCCUUGUACACACCGCCCGUCACGUCAUGAAAGUUGGUAACACCCGAAGCCCAUGGCCUAACC